This 463-nucleotide ribosomal RNA is filed under the name uncultured bacterium. Its description in RNAcentral is "bacterial SSU rRNA". It matches the Rfam family "Bacterial small subunit ribosomal RNA", at positions 28 to 508 of the family's 1533-position model. The record is from RNAcentral.
GACGAACGCUGGCGGCGCGCCUAAAACAUGCAAGUCGAACGAGAAGCCCGGGCUUGCCCGGGUGGACAGUGGCGAACGGGUGAGUAACACGUGAGGAACCUGCCCCGAAGACCGGGACAACACCGGGAAACCGGUGCUAAUACCGGAUACCUUCACCGGAUCGCAUGUUCUGGUGAAGAAAUGGAUUCCGCUUCGGGAUGGCCUCGCGGCCUAUCAGCUAGUUGGUGAGGUAACGGCUCACCAAGGCGACGACGGGUAGCUGGUCUGAGAGGAUGUCCAGCCACACUGGGACUGAGACACGGCCCAGACUCCUACGGGAGGCAGCAGUUAGGAAUCUUGCGCAAUGGGCGAAAGCCUGACGCAGCGACGCCGCGUGCGGGAUGAAGGCCUUCGGGUUGUAAACCGCUUUCAGCAGGGACGAAAUUGACGGUACCUGCAGAAGAAGCCCCGGCCAACUACGUGC